This 963-nucleotide long non-coding RNA is filed under the name Rosa chinensis. RNAcentral describes it as "sRNA RchiOBHm_Chr1g0356601". Lineage: Eukaryota; Viridiplantae; Streptophyta; Magnoliopsida; Rosales; Rosaceae. The record is from RNAcentral.
CGUACAGUCUCUCUCUCUCUCUCUCUCUCUCUCUUCCCCGACCUUUCUUCUUCUUCUUCUCUUCCUCUGCCAUCACCGGAGACCACCACCUCCGGCCACCAUUUCACAAAACCGCCACCAUCAAUUGAUGCAACCCCUAAAUCUGAUCAGAGCCCGAGCCAUACCGUCACCAUGCACCUCCUGCAGCCACCGCACGGGAGAAUCACAGUUCCACCGCCUUACUCCUUGAUCUUCGUCGGUUUCUGGCUAUCUUUUCAAUACACCUCCGCUACCAUCGUGCCCAGAACAAUCUGAACUUUCAAACCCAGAAGUUUUGUCGACUACUGAGGCCCGAAAGCCACCGCACACGGCGUCGCCGGAGACGUCGACUCUGUGGCUCUUCGUUCUUUAAUCUCUGGCCACAUUCGAGCUGCACGACCACGAUAACCCGAGUCAGGAUUUUACGAGCUACCAAAUCCCAAAACCCCGACCUCCAGUUCCGGCCAGAGCUGCCGCACGCUCUGCCACUGGCAUGUGGACCACCACAGCUCCGUCACUGGAUUCCCAGGCGCCUCUAUUAGGUAAACUGUCGUUUCUUUGCUUAGGUUGGAGCUUCUGGCUGUUGUGGAAUGGAACCCUAACGUAAUGUGUUCAAUUUUGAUUGUGAGGUUUUGGUGAAAUCUGUGUAUUGGGUGUAUGGAACCUUAAGCUUGGAAUUGGAUGCAGGAAAUGGGAAAUCCAUUACUCAGUGAUGAGGACUUUGGAAGGGGCACUGAAGAGUAGGAGAUUGGCUUUAUAUCGAGAUUCUUGGCAGUAAAGAAAAGGCGAAAUGGUAAGGGUCGGGCUUUGGAUCGUGAACUAUGUUUUAUUGAAGUUGAGGUUUUAUGGAUUUUAUGAAGUAGAAUGAAUACAGUUAUUCUUGUUAAUAUUAUGGUGAUAUUGAUAUGUGGUUGAAUAGAAUGAAAUUGAUUUGGAAUUGCUCUU